Molecule: ribosomal RNA, 376 nt
Filed under: uncultured bacterium
Lineage: Bacteria
Description: bacterial SSU rRNA
Rfam family: Bacterial small subunit ribosomal RNA
Source: RNAcentral
GACAGAGGGUGCAAACGUUGCUCGGAAUCACUGGGCGUAAAGGGCGUGUAGGCGGGAAGGAAAGUCGGGCGUGAAAUCCCUGGGCUCAACCCAGGAACUGCACUCGAAACUUCUUUUCUUGAGUGCCGGAGAGGAAAGCGGAAUUCCUGGUGUAGAGGUGAAAUUCGUAGAUAUCAGGAGGAACACCAGUGGCGAAGGCGGCUUUCUGGACGGUAACUGACGCUGAGACGCGAAAGCGUGGGGAGCAAACAGGAUUAGAUACCCUGGUAGUCCACGCUGUAAACGAUGAGUGCUAGGUGUCGUGGGUAUUGACCCCCGCGGUGCCGUAGCUAACGCAUUAAGCACUCCGCCUGGGAAGUACGGUCGCAAGACUAAA